RNAcentral lists this ribosomal RNA (301 nucleotides) under uncultured bacterium. Its description in RNAcentral is "partial 16S ribosomal RNA". It matches the Rfam family "Bacterial small subunit ribosomal RNA", at positions 509 to 807 of the family's 1533-position model. The record is from RNAcentral.
CAGUCGCCGCGGGAAUACGAAGGGUGCAAGCGUUAAUCGGAAUUACUGGGCGUAAGGCGUGCGUAGGCGGUGAGUUAAGUCUGCUGUGAAAUCCCCGGGCUCAACCUGGGAAUGGCAGUGGAUACUGGCUCGCUAGAGUGUGUCAGAGGAUGGUGGAAUUCCCGGUGUAGCGGUGAAAUGCGUAGAGAUCGGGAGGAACAUCAGUGGCGAAGGCGGCCAUCUGGGACAAUACUGACGCUGAGGCACGAAAGCGUGGGGAGCAAACAGGAUUAGAUACCCCCGUAGUCCCUGUCUCUUAUAC